Molecule: ribosomal RNA, 501 nt
Filed under: Actinomyces sp. 'ARUP UnID 95'
Lineage: Bacteria; Bacillati; Actinomycetota; Actinomycetes; Actinomycetales; Actinomycetaceae
Description: bacterial SSU rRNA
Rfam family: Bacterial small subunit ribosomal RNA
Source: RNAcentral
GGACGAACGCUGGCGGCGUGCUUAACACAUGCAAGUCGAACGGUGAAGCGCCUUCCUUUUGGUGGGUGUGGAUGAGUGGCGAACGGGUGAGUAACACGUGAGUAACCUGCCCCCUUCUUCUGGAUAACCGCAUGAAAGUGUGGCUAAUACGGGAUAUUCUGGGUCUGUCGCAUGGCGGGUCUGGGAAAGAUGCGCCUUUGGGUGUUUUUGGUGGGGGAUGGGCUCGCGGCCUAUCAGCUUGUUGGUGGGGUGAUGGCCUACCAAGGCGGUGACGGGUAGCCGGCCUGAGAGGGUGGACGGUCACACUGGGACUGAGACACGGCCCAGACUCCUACGGGAGGCAGCAGUGGGGAAUAUUGCACAAUGGGCGCAAGCCUGAUGCAGCGACGCCGCGUGAGGGAUGGAGGCCUUCGGGUUGUAAACCUCUUUCGCCAGUGAAGCAGGCCUGUCCCUUUUGUGGGUGGGUUGACGGUAGCUGGAUAAGAAGCGCCGGCUAACUAC